RNAcentral lists this ribosomal RNA (429 nucleotides) under Chloroflexota bacterium. RNAcentral's name for it is "Chloroflexi bacterium partial 16S ribosomal RNA". It matches the Rfam family "Bacterial small subunit ribosomal RNA", at positions 355 to 776 of the family's 1533-position model. The record is from RNAcentral. Lineage: Bacteria; Bacillati; Chloroflexota.
UGGGGAAUAUUGCACAAUGGGCGCAAGCCUGAUGCAGCCAUGCCGCGUGUAUGAAGAAGGCCUUCGGGUUGUAAAGUACUUUCAGUCGGGAGGAAGGUGUCAAGGUUAAUAACCUUGGCAAUUGACGUUACCGACAGAAGAAGCACCGGCUAACUCCGUGCCAGCAGCCGCGGUAAUACGGAGGGUGCAAGCGUUAAUCGGAAUUACUGGGCGUAAAGCGCACGCAGGCGGUUGAUUGAGUCAGAUGUGAAAUCCCCGGGCUUAACCCGGGAAUUGCAUCUGAUACUGGUCAGCUAUAGUCUUGUAGAGGGGGGUAGAAUUCCAUGUGUAGCGGUGAAAUGCGUAGAGAUGUGGAGAAAUACCGGUGGCGAAGGCGGCCCCCUGGACAAAGACUGACGCUCAGGUGCGAAAGCGUGGGGAGCAAACAGG